AUCGCUUUUCGGCUCCUUGGAGCUAUGGUCAAGUGUAGUAUCUGUUCUUAUCAGUUUAAUAUCUGAUGUUUUUCCCCCUCAGAAUAGGAAAGCUGAUAUCCUGGUUUAUGGCAUUUACUUAAU
RNAcentral lists this small nuclear RNA (123 nucleotides) under Chelydra serpentina (North American snapping turtle). RNAcentral describes it as "U2 spliceosomal RNA (ENSCSRG00000011691.1)". It matches the Rfam family "U2 spliceosomal RNA". Rfam says of the family: U2 is a small nuclear RNA (snRNA) component of the spliceosome (involved in pre-mRNA splicing). Complementary binding between U2 snRNA (in an area lying towards the 5' end but 3' to hairpin I) and the branchpoint sequence (BPS) of the intron results the bulging out of an unpaired adenosine, on the BPS, which initiates a nucleophilic attack at the intronic 5' splice site, thus starting the first of two transesterification reactions that mediate splicing. The record is from Rfam by way of RNAcentral. Lineage: Eukaryota; Metazoa; Chordata; Testudines; Chelydridae.